This 74-nucleotide transfer RNA is filed under the name Alosa alosa (allis shad). Its description in RNAcentral is "tRNA-OTHER". The record is from RNAcentral. Lineage: Eukaryota; Metazoa; Chordata; Actinopteri; Clupeiformes; Clupeidae.
GCAGCAGUGGCUUACUGGUUAGGGCUUUGGGCUUAUAACCGAAGGGUUGCUGGUUCGAUCCCCGACCAGUAGGA